RNAcentral lists this ribosomal RNA (253 nucleotides) under uncultured bacterium. RNAcentral's name for it is "partial 16S ribosomal RNA". It matches the Rfam family "Bacterial small subunit ribosomal RNA", at positions 524 to 776 of the family's 1533-position model. The record is from RNAcentral.
UACAGAGGGGGCGAGCGUUAUUCGGAAUUAUUGGGCGUAAAGGGCGCGUAGGCGGCGAUUCAAGUGACGGGUGAAAUCCCUCGGCUUAACCGAGGAACUGCCUGUCAGACUGGAUUGCUUGAGGCCGGGAGAGGUGAGUGGAAUUCCCAGUGUAGCGGUGAAAUGCGUAGAUAUUGGGAGGAACACCAGUGGCGAAGGCGGCUCACUGGACCGGUACUGACGCUGAGGCGCGAAAGCGUGGGGAGCGAACAGG